RNAcentral lists this transfer RNA (61 nucleotides) under Cassida denticollis. RNAcentral describes it as "tRNA-Leu". It matches the Rfam family "tRNA". From Rfam's summary of the family: Transfer RNA (tRNA) molecules are approximately 80 nucleotides in length. Their secondary structure includes four short double-helical elements and three loops (D, anti-codon, and T loops). The record is from RNAcentral. Lineage: Eukaryota; Metazoa; Arthropoda; Insecta; Coleoptera; Chrysomelidae.
GUUACUUUGGCAGAGUAGUGUAUUAGAUUUAGAAUCUAAAUAAGUAGUUUUACAAGUAACA